CAAACGGGUGAGUAACGCGUAGACAACCUGCCGCAAAGAUGGGGACAACAGUCCGAAAGGACUGCUAAUACCGAAUGUUGUCAGUUUUCCGCAUGGGAGACUGAUUAAAGAUGGCCUCUACUUGUAAGCUAUCGCUUUGCGAUGGGUCUGCGUCUGAUUAGCUGGUUGGUGGGGUAACGGCCUACCAAGGCGACGAUCAGUAGCCGGUCUGAGAGGAUGAACGGCCACAUUGGAACUGAGACACGGUCCAGACUCCUACGGGAGGCAGCAGUGGGGAAUCUUCCGCAAUGGGCGAAAGCCUGACGGAGCAACGCCGCGUGAGUGAAGAAGGGUUUCGGCUCGUAAAGCUCUGUUGACGGGGACGAACGUGCGAGAUGCGAAUAGUUUCUUGCAAUGACGGUACCCGUCGAGGAAGCCACGGCUAACUACGUGCCAGCAGCCGCGGUAAUACGUAGGUGGCGAGCGUUGUCCGGAAUUAUUGGGCGUAAAGGGAGCGCAGGCGGGAAGGCAAGUCAGUCUUAAAAGUGCGGGGCUCAACCCCGUGAUGGGAUUGAAACUGUCUUUCUUGAGUGCAGGAGAG
This 580-nucleotide ribosomal RNA is filed under the name uncultured rumen bacterium. RNAcentral describes it as "bacterial SSU rRNA". It matches the Rfam family "Bacterial small subunit ribosomal RNA", at positions 99 to 656 of the family's 1533-position model. The record is from RNAcentral.